GCUCGCGUGGUGUAGUGGUUAUCAUGCUUUCUUCACAAGAACCGACCUGUCUUGUUGGGAUCUCAUCCCAUCGUGAUCCAGAUCGUUUGAGUGUUAACGGAAGAGGCCGCCGGUUCGAACCCGGCCGUGGGCA
Non-coding RNA from Apiotrichum porosum, 133 nucleotides. Lineage: Eukaryota; Fungi; Basidiomycota; Tremellomycetes; Trichosporonales; Trichosporonaceae. The record is from the annotation of a RefSeq genome assembly.